This 256-nucleotide ribosomal RNA is filed under the name uncultured bacterium. RNAcentral describes it as "partial 16S ribosomal RNA". It matches the Rfam family "Bacterial small subunit ribosomal RNA", at positions 524 to 776 of the family's 1533-position model. The record is from RNAcentral.
GACGUAGGUGGCGAACGUUAUCCGGAAUUAUUGGGCGUAAAGGGUGCGUAGGUGGCCUGACAAGUUAUCAGUGGCAAAUCGAGGCUCAACCUCGUGGAAACUGGUAAUACUGUUCGGCUUGAGUACAGGAAAGGUUAACGGAACUCUAUGUGGAGCGGUAAAAUGCACAGAUAUAUAGAAGAACAUCAAUAAAGGCGAAGGCAGUUAACUAUUCUGUUACUGACGCUGAGGCACGAAAGCGUGGGGAGCAAAACGG